UCUGAGGUAAGAUGCCGCUUUCCCUAUAGC
Molecule: non-coding RNA, 30 nt
Filed under: Mus musculus (house mouse)
Lineage: Eukaryota; Metazoa; Chordata; Mammalia; Rodentia; Muridae
Source: RNAcentral